This 493-nucleotide ribosomal RNA is filed under the name uncultured beta proteobacterium. RNAcentral describes it as "bacterial SSU rRNA". It matches the Rfam family "Bacterial small subunit ribosomal RNA", at positions 1003 to 1503 of the family's 1533-position model. Lineage: Bacteria; Pseudomonadati; Pseudomonadota; Betaproteobacteria. The record is from RNAcentral.
GAAACACGGNUUUUCCUUCGGGACACCAUCACAGGUGGUGCAUGGCUGUCGUCAGCUCGUGUCGUGAGAUGUUGGGUUAAGUCCCGCAACGAGCGCAACCCUUGUCAUUAGUUGCUACGAAAGAGCACUCUAAUGAGACUGCCGGUGACAAACCGGAGGAAGGUGGGGAUGACGUCAAGUCCUCAUGGCCCUUAUGGGUAGGGCUUCACACGUCAUACAAUGGUACAUACAGAGGGCCGCCAACCCGCGAGGGGGAGCUAAUCCCAGAAAGUGUAUCGUAGUCCGGAUUGUAGUCUGCAACUCGACUGCAUGAAGUUGGAAUCGCUAGUAAUCGCGGAUCAGCAUGUCGCGGUGAAUACGUUCCCGGGUCUUGUACACACCGCCCGUCACACCAUGGGAGCGGGUUUUACCAGAAGUAGGUAGCUUAACCGCAAGGAGGGCGCUUACCACGGUAGGAUUCGUGACUGGGGUGAAGUCGUAACAAGGUAGCCGU